Phymastichus coffea is the source of this 1203-nucleotide long non-coding RNA. RefSeq lists it as uncharacterized. The transcript has 3 exons. Lineage: Eukaryota; Metazoa; Arthropoda; Insecta; Hymenoptera; Eulophidae. The record is from RefSeq and is a predicted model, not a curated record.
AUUCGUAUAAAAAGUCAAACGAAUGGUCUGAUGCUCAAGCGAUCGUUCAGUUGUCAAACACUUAACACCUGCAAGACAGACGGCAAGCAUUCACGAUGUCCAUAGGCAAAGCAACGCUGAUUCUAGCAAUUGUUCUGGCCGUUUGCGUGCUCGACGUGGCCAAGGCGGACGAUAUACAAGUUACUUCAGCCCCUCUAAAGCUGUUUCAAGACACCGCUGCAAAGAUACACGACUGGACCUCCGUUCUGGUUUCCAUGAUACAGGAUUUUAUAAAGAGAAUGAGUGUUACGCUAGGCACCUCUUAGGUAGGAUUGCAAAUCGCUAAUGCAUUUUUUCCCAAGAAAUUAUGUAUGUUUUUUUGAAAUUCUAUAUUGGUUGUGAAUUUAUUGAUGCUUUGCUUAAUUGAAUUUAUAUUUUUUUCACUCCAUUUUUCAAUGACUUCAAUGUAAACUUCCAAGCUUAUAGAGUAAACCUACAAAAAACUUUAAACGCAGUAUAUUAUUGUGGAUUACGCACGUUUCGCCAAUAACUUUUGGCUUCUUCAGAUCUUUGUUAAAAUUAAAAAUAACAAUUCUACAGAGAAGAAUACGAAACAUAUGGUUGUUCAAAACAUGACAUAACAACAAUUUUAAUAGUUCAUAUUUGUAGACACGGUGAUAAGAGAAUACAUUUCUCCAGUCAAAGACAAGCGUAGUAUUACCUUCAUUUCGUAUUUUUCUUUGUAUGAUUGAUACAUUUGUUUUAAAAUAAAGAACUGAAGGGGCUAAAAAUAAUUGGCGAAACGUACACGUAAUCAAUAAUAAUAUGCUAUAUUGAAAGUUUUUUGUGGUUUUACUCUACGAAUUUGAAGAUUAUAUUUAAAUCAUUUGCUUAAUCGAGUAGAAACAAGUUGCAUUUGUAAAAGAUGAAUAAAAUAAAAUGAAUAUUUUAAUUCAACGGCAAAAUUUUCCUUUUUCCAAGCAGUUCCAUUCAAUUUCCCGUUUCGGUAAAUGCUUCACAAAAAAAAAAUCACUCAAAGCCGUAUGUUGCACGCCAAAAUUCCCUGUGGGAAGUUUCUCGUCACAAUGCACAAGCCACACGUAAAGUUAGCUCAGAGUCGCUUCUGGCGCUCGAGGAAGGAAAACUUGUCCGAAACAAAUAAAUCUUCUCUCCUCUCGUGCGCGCGAUGCUGUGCGCAACGCACGCGUGGUCUCCUGUGUACCG